RNAcentral lists this long non-coding RNA (274 nucleotides) under Gossypium raimondii (Peruvian cotton). RNAcentral describes it as "long non-coding RNA (GRAI_LNC006443)". Lineage: Eukaryota; Viridiplantae; Streptophyta; Magnoliopsida; Malvales; Malvaceae. The record is from RNAcentral.
UAAGAGGAGAUAGCAAAAAGGAGAAAAGAAUGAAAAUACGGAGAAAAUGAAGAACAAAACUAACGUCAGAUUUUUCUUUUAGAAGAGAGAGAAAAUUUUGAAAAAAAUAAAACAAAAUAAACAAUUUGAUUACAAUCCCAACUCCUCAAUAACAACUUAGCCUCAACUACCUCAGAAUUUUGAGACCACUCAAACUCUCUCAGCCAACCGAAACAAAAAUUAACACCCUCGCUCUCGCAAAGAUUCAAACACAAGACCUUUAGCACAAUAACCC